This is a long non-coding RNA of Aquila chrysaetos chrysaetos, 2743 nucleotides long. RefSeq lists it as uncharacterized. The record is from RefSeq and is a predicted model, not a curated record. The transcript has 2 exons. NCBI's taxonomy places the organism in Eukaryota, Metazoa, Chordata, Aves, Accipitriformes, Accipitridae.
GACACAAGGCCAACUUUCUCCCUCUCCUUCUCCACUAUGAAUCCUGAAAGAAGUGAAGUCAGAAGAGUGACCUUGGAUUUGUAUCACUGAUGGCAAGAACAACAUCUGCCUGAAAGUGGAAUGAAAAAACUUGCACUGAAAAAAACCUGUCCCAGGUAAGCGCGGGAUGCAGCGGAGACUGGCACAGCACAAGCCGUUGCACGGAGGAUUCCAGCCCAAGACAGCACACGAGGCUGCACGUUUUUCCACCCCCUUCAGCCCUUCUGCUGAGACCGCCCGUGCUAGUGCCACCUGAGAGAUGAAUUUUGGUAACUCAUCUAAGACCACUGUAAGCAGCAGGCACCCAGGCUUUACGGAAGCCGGCGCAGCACCGCGGCACUGGCACCGUCGUGCAACUAAACCGGCAUCGCUGGAGACCUGACGCUGCUGCUUCUGCCCAGCAUUUCACUAACCUUUAAUACCCCCUCCCCAACAGACUAAAAGGCGUACAGUUUAUUCUGGGGACUAGUGUUUACAAAUCAGCCAAAGAUGAAAGGUUUCCCUGCCAGUGGCAGAGGAGCAAGAGAAGAGAAAGCGAUACUGACUAUUGGUCCACUUACAUCAUUGGGAAUAGUAAGUUCAUGGGAACUGGUUGGAGUAGUGGCAUCCAGUCCUAUUCAGGGGACAGAGGGAAAAUGUUACGCCAGUUGUUUGCAAGAAGGGCAAGACACAGCAAAUGGUAUUUUAAAGAAGGAAACAUACAGGAGGAAGGAGGAAAAAAAAAAAAAAAAAGAGGAGCAAAGAAAAAUAGAGAACUGCUAGUGAAACAGAAAAGAAAGCAAGAGAUGCAAAACUCAGAGGGCUGGACUAAUUUUAAAUGAGUCUUAUUUUAAUUAACCUUUAAGCCACCAAAGCAACAAAUGUCACAUGAGAUUCCACAGGGUCAUAAAAACCUUCUAGAAAAUGAAGGGUUUCCCCUAAAAAUAGUCUCUGAAGUUUGUUCUAAACACAUCAAUUGAGAAAUUAAUGGAUGGCUGAAAUUUGACCUGUCUACCAGGAAUUCUAGAAUAUGGAAAAUGGAAGUGGAAGUCAAAUGAACAAUUAGCAAAACAAAAUACAUAGAUACAAAAAAGAAAAAUUAAUGAAUUAAAAUAAGGAUGAGGAAAUUAACCUAGGAAAAUUUGGAAAUUAUAUGUGGGAUUAGCUGCUGAAGAAAUGUUGGGAAGGGUAAUUUUGAAGGGAAAUGUACAAAAUACUCUAAGCUGCAUACAUUUGUUUGUAAAUUGGGUGGACAAAAGGAAAAUGCUCAGGAAAAAUGCAAUUACUGCUCUAACACAGAGUAACAGAAACGUACAUGUCACAAAUAUAACCAGGAAAAGAUUAAGGAGCAGCAUGUUAAUGACAAGAAUAAGGAAAAUAUAAAGCUAGGAAAGGCAAUUUAGUAUUACUUGUAGAUAUUUUAUCAGAUACAUCAUGAAGAAACAAAAGUAUAUUUUGGAUGUCAUGUCUCUUUCUCUCCUUUUCUCUUUUUUUGGUGUUGUUUAUUAUUAUUGUCUGUAAAGACAUGCCAAAAAUACUCAUUUCCAACUAGAAAAGAUGGAAAAGAAAUACUCUUACAAAAAAGUGAGUCACCUACAUUUUACUUAUGUUUACAUUCAAUUAAGAGUUGCAUAUGCUUAUUUUACAUUGAAUAUAAAACAACCAAGUUGCUCACAGAAUUUGAUGUAUGUGAUAAAAUGUUAUUUGCCAUACAAAGCAUGUACCAGUACCUCUGUAAUUCUGUUUUGUGGAGUUUUUAGAUGUCAAGCAUGUAUUAAGUGAAGUACAGUAAAAAUGAUUUAUGGCAGGGUUAACUGACUUCUCACACUUGAAUCAAGAAUUUAGCUUCAGCUUUAGUAAGUACAGACCAAAAUUGCAGUCUUUAAUUUAACUAAAUUUCCAUUGCAUUUUGUGGCUCUAUCUGCAUAUCUAGUAGGAAGAGGCACUUGUCCCAGCAGCGAUGAUUACAGAUGAUCUUAAGACAUUUGGCUCUACAAGGAAUUUGAGUUUCAGCGUGCUGUAAUUUCUUUAAUCAGUAUUUCUAUACCACGAUUACAGACUGUUUUCCUAUGUUUACUUCUUUCUGAAGCAUGUUACCAAACUAGAAAUUUGACAAGACGCAUGCCCAAAUACUUCACUCGGGACCGGCUGGUACAUACUGUAUGGUCCAUAACAACUUUACUUAACAGGGACUGAACAAAAGAAACUCAGGGCUUUUAGCUAAUGGCACAAAUGAAGCGGUUUUGAUUAAUAAAUGUACCAAACAAAGCAUGUUUUAGUAAUGAUGAAAGGAACUGUAACAGAGGUACGGGAGGGAAGAACAGAGAUUAAUGUGUAAAAACAGAAGGAUUGCUGGUCAUUGACCACAUUUAUUAUUAAAAUGAUGUAAUGACCAUGGGAAACAAAGCUGUUAAGAAGAAGGACAUCCCCAGGGGGUCAUGGGUACGUACCAGGGAAACCAGGGGUGGUCUGCCCAAGGGGAGUAAAGGGGGGAUGCUGCAUAGCCAACUGGUGAAGCUUGGUCAACUGCAGGGCAGGAUGGGAAAUUAGAACUAACCAAUCAAAUGGAAUUAUUUCAGAGCAGAGAAACCAUCUUACAUGUUCUAAAACUGGAUUAAUUAAAAUUAUAUUGGAAAAAAAAAAAAGGUUUAAUCAUUCAUUCUAAUCUAACGUAGAGGAAAAAAAACCAAACUGGUUAUAAAUGACAUCUCUACUGUUAUUACAU